RNAcentral lists this ribosomal RNA (1038 nucleotides) under Triticum aestivum (bread wheat). Its description in RNAcentral is "partial small subunit ribosomal RNA". The record is from RNAcentral. Lineage: Eukaryota; Viridiplantae; Streptophyta; Magnoliopsida; Poales; Poaceae.
AUGGUGACACCGCAGCUCAGGGGCGCGGGAGUCUUCGGCUACGCCGACGGCACAACACCGGAGCCGGCCAAGUUCCUCACCACCAAAGAUAAGGAUGGGAAGGAAACCUCUGAGCCCAACCCUCUCCACCCUUUUUGGGUCCGGGAGGACCAACAGGUGCUGGGCUAUCUCCUCAGCACCCUCACCAAGGAGGUCCUGCUGCAGGUGACCAUGAUCACCACGGCGAGCACGCUCUGGACGACGCUUGCAGGUAUGUUCUCCUCGCAGUCUUUGAGCCGGGUCAAUAACAUCCGCACGGCCCUGCUCAGCGCGCAGAAGGGCACCCAAUCGGUCGCCACCUUCUUCACCCAUAUGCGUGGCCUCGCCGAUGAGCUGGCGGCCGCCGGCAAGCCUCUGCAGGACGACGAGCUCAUCAGCUACAUCCUUCACGGCCUCGACAUGGAGUACCAGCCCUUGGUCUCUGCCCUCGACGUCCGCACCACCCCGGUAUCCCUCGAUGAACUCUUCUCUAUGUUGAGUAACUUCGAUCAACGGGUGGCCAUGUACCAAGGGUCGGGCGGCUUCAAAUCUUCAGCCAACGCCGCGGCCUGUGGCCGUGGCGGCUCCUCUCGCUACCGUGGCCCUCCUCGCUCCAAGGGCAAGCCUGGCGGUAGCGGUGGCAGCAACACCAGCGGCUCCAACUCCCGUAGCGGGCGCCCCUCCUCCAACAACACUAGGGGUCGCCGCGGCGGGAACGGCAAGUCUCGCCCGGAUGUCGUGCGUUGCCAGAUCUGUGGUAAACUCGGGCACUCGGCUAAAGACUGCUGGUACCGCUUUGAAGAAGAUGAGGCUUCAUCCGAAAAUGAGGAAAAGGUUGAUGCCGCUGCUGAUGGUGCCUACGGCGUCGACACAAACUGGUACCUUGACAGCGGCACCACCAACCAUCUCACGGGUGAACUUGAGAAAGUAACCCUCCGUGAGAAGUACCCCGGCAAGGACCAAAUUCACACCGCGAGUGGGGCAGGAUCAGGCCACGAGGAAAAUCCUAUAUCGAGGUAG